This 253-nucleotide ribosomal RNA is filed under the name uncultured bacterium. Its description in RNAcentral is "partial 16S ribosomal RNA". It matches the Rfam family "Bacterial small subunit ribosomal RNA", at positions 524 to 776 of the family's 1533-position model. The record is from RNAcentral.
UACAGAGGGUGCAAGCGUUGUUCGGAAUCACUGGGCGUAAAGCGCGUGUAGGCGGUUUCCUAAGUCAGGUGUGAAAUCCCCCGGCUUAACCGGGGAAGUGCGCCUGAAACUGGGAGGCUUGAGUACCGGAGAGGAAAGGGGAAUUCCCGGUGUAGAGGUGAAAUUCGUAGAUAUUAGGAAGAACACCGGUGGCGAAGGCGGCCCACUGGUCCGGUACUGACGCUGAGGUGCGAAAGCGUGGGGAGCAAACAGG